UAACAAUACUUUUUAAAUGAUUACUGUGUCCCAGGCACUGUGUUUCACAUUUAUGGAUUAUAUUAUUUAAGACUUACAAUAACCCUAUGAGGAAAGCAUUAUCAAUAUUACAUUUUUCCUCCAAUGUUUUUAUGUUAGAAAAAACAGUGAAGCAUAGACAGUUUUUGCAAGAGGCCCAAGAUCAUACAUCAAAUAUGUGCACAGCCAGGACCUGAACCAGUUGAUAUCUACAAAUGCCUGGCUUUUGCCACUGGGCUCCUUCAGGAUGGGAGGACAGGCAUGAUGGUGUGUGCCUGUAUUCCCACCAACUCAAAAGGCUGACAUGGGAGGAUCACUAGAGCCCAGGAGUUUGAGGCCCACAUGGGCAACUUAGCAAAAACCUGUCUCUAAAAAUCAAAACAGAGAAACAGGAUGAAGAAUGUUCAUACGGAUUCUGUUAUCUACUAUUUAACCAGGUAAAGAGAAAUGCUCCAAAUAGUUUACGUGUUUACAAUACAUGUUUUUGAAUAAAUGAAUGAAUGGCAAAUGUAUGUUAUAAUAAUUUAUCAAUUGUAUAGAAAUAAUAGAUGAUUAGAA
RNAcentral lists this long non-coding RNA (576 nucleotides) under Homo sapiens (human). Its description in RNAcentral is "non-protein coding LINC02506:15". The record is from RNAcentral. Lineage: Eukaryota; Metazoa; Chordata; Mammalia; Primates; Hominidae.